UACGUAGGGUGCAAGCGUUAUCCGGAAUUAUUGGGCGUAAAGAGCUCGUAGGCGGUUUGUCGCGUCUGCUGUGAAAACCGGAGGCUCAACCUCCGGCCUGCAGUGGGUACGGGCAAACUAGAGUGCGGUAGGGGAGAUUGGAAUUCCAGGUGUAGCGGUGAAAUGCGUAGAUAUCUGGAGGAACACCGGUGGCGAAGGCGGCAUCCUGGACCAACACUGACGCUGAGGAGCGAAAGCCAGGGGAGCAAACGGG
This 253-nucleotide ribosomal RNA is filed under the name uncultured bacterium. RNAcentral describes it as "partial 16S ribosomal RNA". It matches the Rfam family "Bacterial small subunit ribosomal RNA", at positions 524 to 776 of the family's 1533-position model. The record is from RNAcentral.